RNAcentral lists this ribosomal RNA (266 nucleotides) under uncultured bacterium. Its description in RNAcentral is "partial 16S ribosomal RNA". It matches the Rfam family "Bacterial small subunit ribosomal RNA", at positions 88 to 354 of the family's 1533-position model. The record is from RNAcentral.
UGACUGAGCGGCGGACGGGUGAGUAACGCGUGGGCAACCUGCCUUACACAGGGGGAUAACAGUUAGAAAUGACUGCUAAUACCGCAUAAGACCACGAAACUGCAUGGUUUUGUGGUAAAAACUCCGGUGGUGUAAGAUGGGCCCGCGUCUGAUUAGGUAGUUGGCGGGGUAACGGCCCACCAAGCCGACGAUCAGUAGCCGACCUGAGAGGGUGACCGGCCACAUUGGGACUGAGACACGGCCCAGACUCCUACGGAAGGCAGCAG